This 6644-nucleotide long non-coding RNA is filed under the name Sus scrofa (pig). Its description in RNAcentral is "lncRNA (ENSSSCG00065072736.1)". Lineage: Eukaryota; Metazoa; Chordata; Mammalia; Artiodactyla; Suidae. The record is from RNAcentral.
CCUGCAGCUUAUGGAGGUUCCCAGGCUAGGGGUCAAAUCAGAGCUGUAACCGCCGGCCUACACCACAGCCACAGCAACAUCAGAUCAAAGCCACAUCUGUGACCUACACCACAGCCACAGCAACGCCAGAUCCUCAACCCACUGAGCGAGGCCAGGGAUCGAACCCGCAACCUCAUGGUUCCCAGUCGGAUUCGUUUCUGCUGCACCACAACGGGAACUGAAACUCCCCUUUCUUGAAACACUUCCAUUCCCUCAGCCUAUUAAAAUCCCGCCGCCCAGGCUUUCAGAAUAAGCUCAAGUUUUACCGCUUCCCCGAACAAUCCUUUGUUCGCUCCGGCCCUCUCGGAACCUUCCCUGUGGACUCCUACCGCAGCCAGCAUCUGACCCAGACCAGGCAGCCUUUCACGGCAGGUCUUAGGAAGGGACCGUUCCUGCUGUAAAAGAAACAUCGUAUGGUAUUUGCCACUUAGAUCCGGAAUCGAAUACAUGGCGGCGCAGAGGAACUUUCCACAGAAAAGAAAAUCACGGGCUCGGAGAAUAGACUGGUGGUCGCCAAGGGGGAGGGGAAGGGAGUGGGAGUGACUGGGAGGGACUGGGAGCGACUGGGAGCUUGGGGUUAGUGGAUGCAGAAUGUGGCCUUCGGGAUGGAUGAGCAAUGGGCUCCCGCUGUGUAGCCCUGGGAACUCUGUCUAGUCACUUAUGACGGAGCAUGAGAAUGGGAGAAAAAAGAAGGUAGCCAUGUAUAUGUAACUGGGUCACCAUGCUGUACAGUAAAAAAAAUACAUCUACAAAGAAAUAAAGAAUAAAAUAAAGUAAAAUAAGAUCAAAAAGAAACGGUCUGUGCUUGUUUAAAUACGUGGGGAUUGCUGUAAGGACACAGGGGGAUUUCCUGGAACCCAGCUGUAGGAUGGCUGGUGAACCCUCAACGGCUUUGAAAGGUUACGGUUUGUAGACAGGAAUACUUACUCCUCGUGUUUCAAUACGAUGGGCGUAUCCCGGCCUCUCUCCCUACCCCUCAAUCAAUCUCAAUUAACUGGUGCAUUUGGUUUUUUGUUUUGCUUUGUUUUUAUUUUUGUCUUUUUUUUUUUGCUUUUUCUAGGGCCGCACCCACGGCAUAUGGAGGUUCCCAGGCUAGGGGUCUAAUCAGAGCUAUAGCCACUGGCCUACACCACAGCCACAGCAACUCGGGAUCCAAGACGCGUCUGCAACCUAUACCACAGCUCACGGCAACGCUGGAUCCUUAACCCACUGAGCAAGGGCAGGGACCGAACCCACAACCUCAUGGUUCCUAGUCGGAUUCGUUAACCACUGCACCACGACGGGAACUCCUAACUGUGUAGCCUCUUGCUCUCUUUUUGGGGGGAAGGGGCUCUGGGUAGGGCGCAUUCAAGGACAGCUGCCCAGGGCAGGAAGGGGAACAGCACUGCCGUUUUCCAGCUUUACCUGGACUAGGUGGUAAGUUUAUUUUGGGGGUGAAGCUAGAGACCCCCUUGCUCCUGGAGGGUUGAAAUUGUUCUCCAAACACUUUAACCAGUGUUAAAGGUGAUGCUUUUAUCUCCAUCUGCCGUACUUAUCUGUCCCUUAAUUGGUUCCCGCUCAGGAGAGAAAGGGGUAUUGUCGCUGGUCACUCUAAAAUCUUAACGAUAAGCAGCUCUUCUCUAUCUGGAGCUGUGUACUUAUCAGCCUUGCUGCACAUCCACUCCGACUCUCGACUCUCGCAUUCUGAAAACGAAUUUCUUUUUAACUUGGGCUUCUGGCUCCUCAUUAACUUAGACAUUGAUGUGCACCUGGUUGUUAACGUAAGGAAAAGAGUCUGCAUAUUUUCCCCAAAAUGUAUUCUCUCUUCUUCUUUGGUAACAGAACACACAAAUUUAGCUGAGCACAUGGAAACCCAGAGUAAAAGAUGCAUGGGCCACGUAGGUGUGGUCACGUGAUUCUGUUCUGUCCAAGGGGACUUACGUAGAGGGACUGUGUGCCGCUUCUGGGAGACAGCUUAAAGGGGAGAGAGUUUGCUGAUUGAAACUGAUUGGAAAGCAGUUCUAAUGGCUGGAGAUGGGGCAGCCACUUUGGACCGUGAGGAAGAAGACACGGAAGGCGAACACCGGCUCACGGGCUCGGGACAGCAGACGGUCGAACAGUCAGGAAUUUUGCAGACUAGUGAUGAAACCACUGGGAACCUGAAAUCGGCCGUGGUGGGACUAUUUCCAGUCUAGGAAUCAGCAUUUGGUACAAAUCAAGCCUCCCUCCCUUCCCUACUCGCUCCCCAUCUCUCCUUCCUCCCAAGCCCCAGUCACUGAAGAUGUGUUUGCCAGCUUACCACUAGAUAGAAGCACAUGCUGAGGAUGGCAGAGCAGCAGAACAAAAGAAGCCUGAGUCCCUAAUGGCAAUGAAAUAGCUUUGCCAUGGGAGCCCUGGGCGCUAUGUUUAUGGGAGGGAAACCGAGAGAGUCUCUCUUGCUAAGGUGUUGUCAUCUUUGCUUUCUUCCCCUCGAAGCCAAACCCACUGGGGCACCAGACCUAACUCACCAUCACCUAUCAUUUUGGGGUCAUUUAGGAAACUAAUAGAAUCCACUUCAGCUUAGAUCAGUUUUCUUCAUCCCUGGAACAGUCUUUGGGAGAGAGGGGUGUGGGUUCCACGGUGCCAACCUGACCACCUAAACUCACCCUUUCAGCAGGGCUAUUGGUUUAUAUCUGAGAAGAGGAAGUAUGAAUGGAGCCGGCACUGCAAACUAGUUACCUAUACUCUCAUUGGCUACAUUACCACAUGGUAAACUCAUUAUUCCACAUAGCAUCUCUUCCUGUUAAGGCUAUUUGUCUGAAGUACUUUCCAAAAGCACUUGAGAAACAAGUCUUUCCAGGUCUUCCUCUUAACUGACAGACCCCACGUUUUCCUCCGUGCCCCGAGUGUGACAGGCACACCGCACACUCAGCACCGAGAGUGCUACCAAGCCACCCUGAGUUAAGCAUCUUGUUUAUUCCAAUGUGGCCUCUCUCCAUUUAAUCUGUGCUCUGGCAAAUGGUUCUGAUCGGUAACACCUGAGAAAAGCUGUUCCAGUGACAAUGCUGCACCUGCCAAAAGGAACAAGAAGCACAGGAGACCUUCAAAGGCCUGCUUUACUGCAGCUCCAGGCACCUUCGAGGAGACAGACAAUAAAGUUCCUUGGUCAAGAAGAGACUCAGAAGUGCUCUGACUUCAUGAAAAUCCUUCUCAACACUACUGCAUCUGUAGCAGGUUGAUCAACCAUCGAGUGAAUAUGUAGCUUAGAGGAAGAUACAGCUGGGGGCACAUCAGAACUUGAGGAAAUCUGAAUCGACUGGAAAAGCUACUGCCAAUCAACCAGGUAGAAAUGCAUUUCCAGUGGACCUGGCUCUAGUGGCUGCAAUGAAUAAUGCUGACUCAGUUAGGGUGCCCAAGUUCAAGAGUAAUACCGUGCCUCUACUGUUUAAAAUGUCUAUGUAUGUGUGUGUGUUUCAUGGGUGGGAGGAUAUUACAUCUCUAACCAGAUGAUAAACUCCAGGAGGAUAUGGAGAGAAAAAGAUCAAGAAGACAAGAUCCCAGACCUGUUUGAGAAACAGACUGGUGACGAGAAUUUGACAAAAUGGUGUGAAAGUGCCGUGAGAGAGCAGCUGCUGGGGACUGUGCUCUUGGCCGACGCCAGGACCUACGCUGCUCCAGGAAUAGCUAAUACCCAUGAAGAUGUGGGUUCAAUUCCUGCCUCACUCUCUGGUUAAGGAUCUGGUGUUGCCAUGAGCUGCAGUGUAGAUCAUGGCGGCAGCUCGGAUCCAGCAUUGCUGUGGCUGCGGUGUAGGCCAGCAACUGCAGCUUGGAUUCAAACCCUAGCCCAGGAGCUUCCAUGUGCUGCACAUGCAGCUGGAAAAAAAACAAAAACCAAAACCAAAACCACAAAAACAAACGAACAACAAACAAACACCACGUCUUUUUUGAAGAGUGAGAUUGGGUAUUUGGUGGUGAGAAAAACAAAAUAAUUGGAAAGAAAGAUUCUGGGAGGACUUAAGGCUAUUCAAGAAUCCCCUCCCCAAUUCUUCAUCCCUCAAACCUACUUUCUUGCACAGAAGCCUCAGGCACAGCUCGAGAACCACAUCUGCCUUAUUCUACCCCGUCUCGCUUCAGGAUUAAUGUUACUCGGUGUCCUUGCGGAUCCCGCUCCGCCCUCCAGGGGUCAGGUCAGCUUCCUGACCUUCGCUGUGAGCCAACAGCACUGGAUUUUUUUUUUUUUCAAUUACCAAGACCCAGGUCCCAGGUCCAGACUGAUUGGCUUUAGAAUGACGCCAGAGCCGAGGACAGGGAUGUCACCACAUAGCAAACGUCUGUCUCCCACUUCAUGUCAAGACCUGUGGAGGAAGGCCUGCAGGUACCAACAAAAUUCCACCCCACAUUCCCCGUCUGGGGAACUUAGGGAUGGGGGGACGGAGGCCUUCGAGCAGGAACUGGAGACGGUCAACAUGUUAGCAGAGGCGCUUCUUUGGUAACAGAGGAGGGUGAGACACAGACAGGGUGGCCUCUUGGAGGAGAGAGUCCUGAAGGGGGGCCGCCAUCUGCCCACCAGCUCCCCCUACGGACAAGGUGGGUGUGGAAUCGGGACCCUCGCAGGAUAAGAAUGAGCUGAGCUGGUGCUUCCCGCCCUUACCGCCCAGGUGAGGUUCGGAGGCUGGCUCUGGUCUGAACGGAGGCAGAGCGUUGAGACUGGAGGAGGGAGCCAGAGAGAUGCUGCAGCUGAGAGAAGGUGCUAGAAGGUGGGCUGCAUUGCCCUCUUGGGAGCAGCAAGAAGACGAGCUUCCCCUUGGCUCUGACGGACUCCAAGGACGGAGGCCGGGCUUCAGCCGCCUCGCUUUCCCCUGAUGCGAUGGGUACCACGGUCGAAAGAGGACAUGGCACCUGAGGGAGGGCUCCACCCGGAGCGUGGCCAGGGGCGGCCUUGCCACCCCUGAGGCACCAGCACAUGCGCCCCCAGAGAGACACUGCUCUCAGACGCUUCUGCGUGGGACGCUCAGUGUCGGCCAGAUGAGCAGCCACCGCCUACGGAGAGGAGACGCGGGCACAGGACCUCGCUGGAAGCAGACCAGCCAGAGGGGUCACUGCCAGCUUCAGCUCCUACAUCAGAGGGCACCACAGCCAAGGGCGCGGGGGUGGGAGGGGCCUGGCUUCCUGAGGGGUGGGCACGAGCAGGAGGCGGCCUCUGAACAGAAAAUGAUUUUGAAACUACAACGAACACUCCCGAGUCUUGAGAUUUCAGCGACACUGAAGAAAGUGGGAGAAUCGGGCCGAGACGCCGUCAAGCGCGUCCAAGCCCGCAGGCGGAGAGUUUGGGGAGGACGCAGCAGCGAUUACGGGGAAAAGGAAAUCCUUGCACGUCUACACCCCGACACGAGGACAGGCUCACAGAACCGGCCACACAGGCUAGUCUGUGCACCUCGAGUGUGAGGGACGUGUUGCCCGUCCCAAGGGACACGGUCAUGUGUCCCGGGAAGAUGUUGAUGGAGACGGAAGCGACCCAGGGUGAUGCCGCCACGUGGCUGCAGUGUUUGCGGGGAGCAGUAAGUUUUCCUCAAGAGCCAGAUACGCCUCAGGAUCAUGGGUAAAUCCUGAUUCCAAACCGGAGCCUCCUGUGACACCGUCAACCACAUCAUGGGAUCCGCGUGAGACUCCGAGAGUCACGAAAGCGGGUGGGGGCGGGGGCUGACCGGUACCCUCGUAAGGAGGAGCGUUCCAUGCAAAACGCUCAUGACCAAGUGAAAAGGGAGUGUGACGAGAGAGCCAGCCCAGGGACUGCGGUGACAGGUCUGAAUCAAACGCCCAGCAUGGUCCGCUUCCUUUCCUGGGAUGAAGUAAGACGCCGGGAAGGUCCAGGGUGAAGCAAACCCAGGGCCAGGGCCCUGCACCCCAGCCCUGAAAACACGGAUGGCAGCACACUUGCCUCCCCGUGUUUACCGACUCUGCUGAAUCCAACUAAACCAACACAGCAACCCACCUCUCAAGACGAAGAGCCACGGUAACUCUGAGUAUCUACAGCCGGCCACACGAUCCCUUGGCCCCAGGCCUCUCUGUUCCCGGGUCAGCGGGCAGGCAAGGACUCGAAGAGCAGACCGGCUUCAGAACCCGAUCCUCGGCCCGAGGGCCUUGUGAUCCGAGGUGUUUGCGAAGCCCCCCCACCCCCCUCUGGGCCCACACUUUCCUUCCGUGGGCCCGAAAAGCAGCUCCUGAGAUGCUCCGCAUGCCUGUCCUGCCCUAAGGGCUGCAACAGCCCUACACAUUCCUCCCACAGGCAGCCGGGGAGCUCGCAGGGCCAGCGCCCUUCCGUGUGCCCUGCACAGCCCCAGUGUUUGAAAGGAUGACAGGCCCAAAAAAAGAACCCAGGAGAAGAGCGGAGGGUGCCAGAGAGGCCGCUUGGUCUCAGGAGCCUUUGCAGGGGCUGGGGGCCACCCCCACCCUCAGCCCCCCAGCAUAGAGAAGGACUUACCUCGAAAGGGAAUGCAGGCCAGAAGCAGCAGGGGCAAAGCUUCGGCGGCUAGAAAGGAACCCGGGGCCCUGGUCCAAAUACGCAGUCAAGAUUUGUCACUAGCAUCCCUUGCUGGAAAGCUGGGGCAAGGGGUUUGCCCCGAGGCCCAAACUGGACCUCAGUCGGC